Molecule: ribosomal RNA, 418 nt
Filed under: uncultured Lactobacillus sp.
Lineage: Bacteria; Bacillati; Bacillota; Bacilli; Lactobacillales; Lactobacillaceae
Description: bacterial SSU rRNA
Rfam family: Bacterial small subunit ribosomal RNA
Source: RNAcentral
GACGAACGCUGGCGGCGUGCCUAAUACAUGCAAGUCGAGCGAGCUUGCCUAGAUGAUUUUAGUGCUUGCACUAAAUGAAACUAGAUACAAGCGAGCGGCGGACGGGUGAGUAACACGUGGGUAACCUGCCCAAGAGACUGGGAUAACACCUGGAAACAGAUGCUAAUACCGGAUAACAACACUAGACGCAUGUCUAGAGUUUGAAAGAUGGUUCUGUUAUCACUCUUGGAUGGACCUGCGGUGCAUUAGCUAGUUGGUAAGGUAACGGCUUACCAAGGCAAUGAUGCAUAGCCGAGUUGAGAGACUGAUCGGCCACAUUGGGACUGAGACACGGCCCAAACUCCUACGGGAGGCAGCAGUAGGGAAUUUUCGGCAAUGGGGAAACCCUGACCGAGCAACGCCGCGUGAAGGAAGAAGG